UAUCCGUAGGUGAACCUGAGGAAGGAUCAUUAUUGUAUAACCGAGAUGCGAGGGCUGUCGCUGACCCGAAAGGUCGUGCACGCCCGAGUGCCCUCACACACAUCCAUCUCACCCCUAUGUGCACCACCGCGUGGGUCCCCCUUUGGCUUGUUCGGAGGGGGGCUUACGUUUUCACACAAACUUUGUAUGCAGUGUAGAAUGUAUUUUUUGUUUUUGCGAUCACGCAAUCAAUACAACUUUCAACAACGGAUCUCUUGGCUCUC
This 263-nucleotide unclassified non-coding RNA is filed under the name plant metagenome. RNAcentral's name for it is "partial contains small subunit ribosomal RNA, internal transcribed spacer 1, and 5.8S ribosomal RNA". The record is from RNAcentral.